This 600-nucleotide long non-coding RNA is filed under the name Bemisia tabaci. RNAcentral describes it as "lncRNA ENSASIAIIG010115". Lineage: Eukaryota; Metazoa; Arthropoda; Insecta; Hemiptera; Aleyrodidae. The record is from RNAcentral.
UUACUUAUCGUCCUCAUGGACGAUGGAUGAUAAGAUAGAUGAUUGUGAUUAGAUUGGUCCUAAUGGCUUCUUGAGAGCACGUUCGGACUUUAGUUAGAAGGUUCCCCAGGAGGUGAUCUCUUCAAUAGACUGAGUUACAACAGCUCUCCAAUUGUGCUCGCAGUGAUGUCAAACGACGAUAACCACGAUGGACAAAGGUACUGCAACGUUUGCGGGGCGUAGUAAAUAUCAUCUCGGAGAGAGGCACGAAAGGACCCUCUCACACAUACGGACCCUUGCUGCUCUCGAAGAACCCGUCUGUCACUCUCGUGGAAUCCGCGGUUCGAAGUCGUUCCCUGGCCUUCUUUUUGAGGAACAUUGACGCGAAUCAGUUGGACUACGAGCGAUACAUGAAGGAUGGAAUUGAAGGCUAUCUUAAAGUCAAUUUCAAUAACAUCACCUCAGCAAAGUCUCAUCCCUCUGGAUCUUUAUAGAACAUUUAGGAAGGAAGAAGGAUAUCACUUUCCGUUCAGAAAUCUGGGUUUUCGAGACUUCGUCGAAUGUCUCUGCAGCCAAAAUUUAUCGGAUACAGUCAAGGUUUUCUUUCUUGCUCGCCGAUGA